AACUUCGGGAUAAGGAUUGGCUCUGAAGAUUGAGAUAGUCGGGCUUGAUUGGGAAACAAUAACAUGGUUUAUGUGCUCGUUCUGGGUAAAUAGAGUUUCUAUCAUUUAUGAUAGUUAUUUGUUCCCCGGAUAGUUAGUUACGUAGCCAAUUGUGGAACUUUCUUGCUAAAAUUUUUAAGAAUACUAAUUUUUAAUUAGUUCUUUUAAAUUAUAACGAUUAUCAAUUAACAAUCAAUUCAGAACUGGCACGGACUUGGGGAAUCCGACUGUCUAAUUAAAACAAAGCAUUGUGAUGGCCCUAGCGGGUGUUGACACAAUGUGAUUUCUGCCCAGUGCUCUGAAUGUCAAAGUGAAGAAAUUCAAGUAAGCGCGGGUCAACGGCGGGAGUAACUAUGACUCUCUUAAUGCCUCGUCAUCUAAUUAGUGACGCGCAUGAAUGGAUUAACGAGAUUCCUACUGUCCCUAUCUACUAUCUAGCGAAACCACAGCCAAGGGAACGGGCUUGGAAUAAUUAGCGGGGAAAGAAGACCCUUUUGAGCUUGACUCUAAUCUGGCAGUGUAAGGAGACAUAAGAGGUGUAGAAUAAGUGGGAGAUAUUAUUCCUUGUGUUUGAUAUCGCCAAUGAAAUACCACUACUCUUAUUGUUUCCUUACUUACUUGAUUAAAUGGAACGUGUAUCAUUUCCUAGCCAUUAUACGGAUAUAUUUAUUAUAUCUUAUGGUAUUGGGUUUUGAUGCAAGCUUCUUGAUCAAAGUAUCACGAGUUUGUUAUAUAAUCGCAAACAAAUUCUUUAAUGAGAGAGUGCAUUUAUGUAUUUUUAAUUUGAAGUAUUUGGUAUAACUCCAAUUACUCAGGUAUGAUCCAAUUCAAGGACAUUGCCAGGUAGGGAGUUUGACUGGGGCGGUACAUCUCUCAAAUAAUAACGGAGGUGUCCCAAGGCCAGCUCAGUGCGGACAGAAACCACACAUAGAGCAAAAGGGCAAAUGCUGACUUGAUCUCGGUGUUCAGUACACACAGGGACAGCAAAAGCUCGGCCUAUCGAUCCUUUUGGUUUAAAGAGUUUUUAACAAGAGGUGUCAGAAAAGUUACCAUAGGGAUAACUGGCUUGUGGCGGCCAAGCGUUCAUAGCGACGUCGCUUUUUGAUCCUUCGAUGUCGGCUCUUCCUAUCAUUGUGAAGCAAAAUUCACCAAGCGUUGGAUUGUUCACCCAUGCAAGGGAACGUGAGCUGGGUUUAGACCGUCGUGAGACAGGUUAGUUUUACCCUACUAAUGACAAAACGUUGUUGCGACAGCAUUCCUGCGUAGUACGAGAGGAACCGCAGGUACGGACCAAUGGCACAAUACUUGUUCGAGCGAACAGUGGUAUGACGCUACGUCCGUUGGAUUAUGCCUGAACGCCUCUAAGGUCGUAUCCGUGCUGGACUGCAAUGAUAAAUAAGGGGCAAUUUGCAUUGU
This 1455-nucleotide ribosomal RNA is filed under the name Drosophila willistoni. RNAcentral's name for it is "eukaryotic LSU rRNA". It matches the Rfam family "Eukaryotic large subunit ribosomal RNA", at positions 1932 to 3185 of the family's 3401-position model. Lineage: Eukaryota; Metazoa; Arthropoda; Insecta; Diptera; Drosophilidae. The record is from RNAcentral.